RNAcentral lists this unclassified non-coding RNA (233 nucleotides) under Hevea brasiliensis (rubber tree). Lineage: Eukaryota; Viridiplantae; Streptophyta; Magnoliopsida; Malpighiales; Euphorbiaceae. The record is from RNAcentral.
UAUAUUGAAACUUGAAUAGUCUUUCAAUGUCCCAAAACUAUUUCAAUAUUCAUAAAUAGUAGCAUUAUAAUCUUCUUCUACACCUUCAUCCUCGUGAUAUUUAUCUUCAAAAUCAACAUCUUCAUCAUCUUCCACAUCUUUAAGAACUAAAAGAGUGCUAUUUAGUUCUCAAGUUAGUAGAUGAUAUUUUUCCUUUAUCUUUUGGCAUAGAUCUUGAAAUAGGUGCAUAUGCA